UGGGGAAUUUUGGACAAUGGGCGCAAGCCUGAUCCAGCAAUGCCGCGUGUGUGAAGAAGGCCUUCGGGUUGUAAAGCACUUUUGGCAGGAAAGAAACAGUGCGUGCUAAUACCAUGCGCGAAUGACGGUACCUGCAGAAUAAGCACCGGCUAACUACGUGCCAGCAGCCGCGGUAAUACGUAGGGUGCGAGCGUUAAUCGGAAUUACUGGGCGUAAAGCGUGCGCAGGCGGCUUUGUAAGACGGAUGUGAAAGCCCCGGGGCUCAACCUGGGAAGUGCAUUCGUGACUGCAAGGCUAGAGUGUGUCAGAGGGAGGUGGAAUUCCGCGUGUAGCAGUGAAAUGCGUAGAGAUGCGGAGGAACACCGAUGGCGAAGGCAGCCUCCUGGGAUAACACUGACGCUCAGGCACGAAAGCGUGGGGAGCAAACAGGAUUAGAAACCCCGGUAG
RNAcentral lists this ribosomal RNA (447 nucleotides) under uncultured bacterium. RNAcentral describes it as "bacterial SSU rRNA". It matches the Rfam family "Bacterial small subunit ribosomal RNA", at positions 355 to 793 of the family's 1533-position model. The record is from RNAcentral.